RNAcentral lists this ribosomal RNA (253 nucleotides) under uncultured bacterium. RNAcentral's name for it is "partial 16S ribosomal RNA". It matches the Rfam family "Bacterial small subunit ribosomal RNA", at positions 524 to 776 of the family's 1533-position model. The record is from RNAcentral.
UACGGGGGGGGUAAGCGUUGUUCGGAAUUACUGGGCGUAAAGGGCUCGUAGGCGGCCAACUAAGUCAUACGUGAAAUCCCUCAGCUUAACUGGGGAACUGCGUGUGAUACUGGAUGGCUUGGAUUUGGGAGAGGGAUGCGGAAUUCCAGGUGUAGCGGUGAAAUGCGUAGAUAUCGAGAGGAACACCUGCGGCGAAGGCGGGUUGCUGGGCUGACACUGACGCUGAAGCGCGAAAGCUAGGGGAGCGAACGGG